UUGAAAGUUAAACUUUAAUCUUUUGACAUGGUGGAAUUUGUUUCCAUGUGGCAAUCUAUGUGGCAUUUAAAAAAUAAUAAUUGAGAGAGUGUAAUACACACACUAUCAUAUUUUACUUGAGGUGUGUUUUUCAAAAUAAAAUGUAAUAGUUUAGGUGUGUUUCUCAGACUUUCGAUAGUUCGGGUAUGAAACUCAAAAAAAAGGUAUAGUUUAGGUGUGUUUUA
RNAcentral lists this long non-coding RNA (224 nucleotides) under Solanum tuberosum (potato). RNAcentral's name for it is "long non-coding RNA (STUB_LNC005311)". Lineage: Eukaryota; Viridiplantae; Streptophyta; Magnoliopsida; Solanales; Solanaceae. The record is from RNAcentral.